GUGGAUGUAGCUCAGCUGGCUAGAGCACCAGGUUGUGGCCCUGGGGGUCGCGGGUUCAAGUCCCGUCAUUCACCCCA
RNAcentral lists this transfer RNA (77 nucleotides) under Candidatus Fermentithermobacillaceae bacterium. RNAcentral's name for it is "tRNA-His". It matches the Rfam family "tRNA". From Rfam's summary of the family: Transfer RNA (tRNA) molecules are approximately 80 nucleotides in length. Lineage: Bacteria; Bacillati; Bacillota; Candidatus Fermentithermobacillia; Candidatus Fermentithermobacillales; Candidatus Fermentithermobacillaceae. The record is from RNAcentral.